This 1578-nucleotide long non-coding RNA is filed under the name Ananas comosus (pineapple). RNAcentral describes it as "long non-coding RNA (ACOM_LNC029581)". The record is from RNAcentral. Lineage: Eukaryota; Viridiplantae; Streptophyta; Magnoliopsida; Poales; Bromeliaceae.
GAUGGCUACUAUACUAUUAUGAGUAUUGGAGCCUUCGUACUCAUUAGUUGUUUUCAAUGAUGGAGCUUCUAAAUUGACGAUCCACUCUGUUAAAUACGAUCUAGAGUAUAUAAAACUUCUAGAAAAUAAAUUUCGUAAAUUUUUAAAAUCAUAAUAAAGUCCAUCAAGUGGGCAUAAAAUGAUGGUCAAAGUCGAAUGACGUUCUAAAAAAUGAUUAUCGGAUCCUUCAAUUCAAUAUUGAUCUUUAUCUAUGUAGUGAAUAGAAUUUUCUAUAAAAAAUUCAACAAAUUCCGAUUCUUUUACACCGUUAAACUAGCAAGUAUCCCAUAUCGACCGUUAAAAGUUAUCAAAUUUGUGACCGAUUGAUCAUAAGGUAAAUGAUGUCGAAAAAUUAUACAAUUUGAUUUCUAGAAGUUUUAAAUGCUGUAAAUAACGUUUAACGGUGUGGAUCGUGGAUUCGGAAGCUCUAUCAUCGAAAACAACUUAUGAGUACGAGGGCAAUCGUACUCAUAAUAGUAUAGUAGUCGGACCCUAUAUGGCCAUGGCUACUAUACUAUNCCUCAAACUUGUUGAAAUUGGCAGCAAAAUUGAGUUUGCCUCAACCUGGUACUGUUUGCUUCAUAUUUGUAUAUUUGUAAGUAUUUUGUUUGAUAUUUUUAUCCAGUUGAUUGUAUUUUGUUAUUCCACUCGUGAUGUUGUGUUUCUCGUUUGAAUAUUUCUUAUCGUGAAAAAAUUUGCCUCAAACUUGUUGAAAUAGGCGCUAGAAUUGAGCUCAACCUGGUACUGAUUGCACUAAAGGCGGUGAAUGGUUCACCGCCUUUAGUGCAAACUCAGAAACCCGAAAAAAAUGGCUAAGUCCUGGACUGGGUUCUUUUACACAGAUAAGACGGUGAACCAUUCACCGUCUUUAUGGCAGUACAGAUAAGACGGUAAACCAUUCACCGUCUUUAUGGACGGUAAACCAUUCACCGUCUUAUCUGUGUUUUAGCCUCACCACGACUUGGCUAAAUUAGGGCAGGUGGCAAUUUACUCUAAAGACGGCGAAUAGUUCACCAUCUAAUUAAGACGGUGAACCACUCACCGUCUUAUCUGUGUUUUAGCUCCACCACAACUUGGCCAAAUUAGGGCAGGUGGUAAUUUACUCUAAAGACGCCGAAUAGUUCACCGCCUAAUUAAGACGGUGAACCACUCACCGUCUUAUCUGUGUUUUAGGCCCCCUCUCGAGGACUUGGCGAAAUUAGGCUGGCUAGGUAGAAUGGCUUAUGACAAGAUAAGACGGUAAACUAUUUACCGCCUUUGUGAAGACGGUAAACGAGUGACCGUCUUCUCUAGGCACCUUGCGCCGCGCGGGGAAUUGCUGAGAAGGCGGUAGGGUGCGUGGGGAAUUGCUGAAAAGGCGGUAUGGUAGCCUUGAGAAGACGGUCAACCAUUUACCGUCUUCAAUGAGACUGCUUAAAGACGGUGAACGAAUCACCGUCUUUAUGAGAAAUGCUGAUUUGGCGGCUGAGGUGGCAAGAGGAGGGUUAGUUUCACAAAUAAAAUUUUCACAGGGUUAGUUUGGCAAAUAUGAAAUUUCAC